UGGUUGACCUCGGAUCAGGUAGGGAUACCCGCUGAACUUAAGCAUAUCA
RNAcentral lists this ribosomal RNA (49 nucleotides) under Propolis farinosa. Its description in RNAcentral is "partial 28S ribosomal RNA". Lineage: Eukaryota; Fungi; Ascomycota; Leotiomycetes; Marthamycetales; Marthamycetaceae. The record is from RNAcentral.